Molecule: ribosomal RNA, 253 nt
Filed under: uncultured bacterium
Lineage: Bacteria
Description: partial 16S ribosomal RNA
Rfam family: Bacterial small subunit ribosomal RNA
Source: RNAcentral
UACGUAGGGACCAAGCGUUGUUCGGAUUUACUGGGCGUAAAGGGCGCGUAGGCGGCGCGGUAAGUCACUUGUGAAAUCUCUGAGCUUAACUCAGAACGGCUAAGUGAUACUGCAGUGCUAGAGUGUGGAAGGGGCAAUCGGAAUUCUUGGUGUAGCGGUGAAAUGCGUAGAUAUCAAGAGGAACACCUGAGGUGAAGACGGGUUGCUGGGCCAACACUGACGCUGAUGCGCGAAAGCCAGGGGAGCAAACGGG